Molecule: ribosomal RNA, 497 nt
Filed under: uncultured bacterium
Lineage: Bacteria
Description: partial 16S ribosomal RNA
Rfam family: Bacterial small subunit ribosomal RNA
Source: RNAcentral
GAUGAACGCUGGCGGCGUGCCUAAUACAUGCAAGUCGAGCGAACGGACGAGAAGCUUGCUUCUCUGAUGUUAGCGGCGGACGGGUGAGUAACACGUGGAUAACCUACCUAUAAGACUGGGAUAACUUCGGGAAACCGGAGCUAAUACCGGAUAAUAUUUUGAACCGCAUGGUUCAAAAGUGAAAGACGGUCUUGCUGUCACUUAUAGAUGGAUCCGCGCUGCAUUAGCUAGUUGGUAAGGUAACGGCUUACCAAGGCAACGAUGCAUAGCCGACCUGAGAGGGUGUUCGGCCACACUGGGACUGAGACACGGUCCAGACUCCUACGGGAGGCAGCAGUAGGGAAUCUUCCGCAAUGGGCGAAAGCCUGACGGAGCAACGCCGCGUGAGUGAUGAAGGUCUUCGGAUCGUAAAACUCUGUUAUUAGGGAAGAACAUAUGUGUAAGUAACUGUGCACAUCUUGACGGUACCUAAUCAGAAAGCCACGGCUAACUACGUG